AUGUGGAGGGUAUCAAGUGUAGUAUCUGUUCUUAUCAGUUUAAUAUCUGAUAUGUGGGCCAUGUCUCCACAAUGAUAUUAAAUUUAUUUUUUAUGUGGAGGGUCCAUCACAAUGGCUUGCCAUUGGGGCCGUCAUGUGUCGCCUGGGCGUUGCACUACUGCCCAGGCUAGGCGCACCCCAA
RNAcentral lists this small nuclear RNA (181 nucleotides) under Triticum aestivum (bread wheat). RNAcentral describes it as "snRNA U2". It matches the Rfam family "U2 spliceosomal RNA". Rfam says of the family: U2 is a small nuclear RNA (snRNA) component of the spliceosome (involved in pre-mRNA splicing). Lineage: Eukaryota; Viridiplantae; Streptophyta; Magnoliopsida; Poales; Poaceae. The record is from Rfam by way of RNAcentral.